Molecule: ribosomal RNA, 505 nt
Filed under: Mycobacterium sp. Is-B025
Lineage: Bacteria; Bacillati; Actinomycetota; Actinomycetes; Mycobacteriales; Mycobacteriaceae
Description: bacterial SSU rRNA
Rfam family: Bacterial small subunit ribosomal RNA
Source: RNAcentral
GCGAACGGGUGAGUAACACGUGGGUGAUCUGCCCUGCACUUUGGGAUAAGCCUGGGAAACUGGGUCUAAUACCGAAUAUGACCAUGGCAUGCAUGUGCUGUGGUGGAAAGCUUUUGCGGUGUGGGAUGGGCCCGCGGCCUAUCAGCUUGUUGGUGGGGUGAUGGCCUACCAAGGCGACGACGGGUAGCCGGCCUGAGAGGGUGUCCGGCCACACUGGGACUGAGAUACGGCCCAGACUCCUACGGGAGGCAGCAGUGGGGAAUAUUGCACAAUGGGCGCAAGCCUGAUGCAGCGACGCCGCGUGAGGGACGACGGCCUUCGGGUUGUAAACCUCUUUCAGCACAGACGAAGCGCAAGUGACGGUAUGUGCAGAAGAAGCACCGGCCAACUACGUGCCAGCAGCCGCGGUAAUACGUAGGGUGCGAGCGUUGUCCGGAAUUACUGGGCGUACAGAGCUCGUAGGUGGUUUGUACGCGUAGUUCGUGAAAACUCACAGCUCAAUCUG